CCCGGUUCCCGGAUAGCGCUUCACUCGAACCCUCCACCGAGGUGCCAGAGUGCCGGGCCGCCCCCUCCCCUGAAAGCAGCCGAGGUAUGCAGCCCUUCCGCAGAACGGCCGUGUCCGGUUCUGGAAAGGAGCAGUGCUCACGUCGGCCCAGGGCCAGAUGGCUUGAGUUAAGCCUAAAGGCAGAUCCUGUAUCUCUUACAGGAUAUCUAGUUAGGCCACAGCACAAAUUGCUGACGCUUUCUCCCAAUUAUCUCCGCACUAAUCCAAGGUCUUUCUUGCACCCUAGGGCACGCCUGGAUGGCCUGUGGCCCACACAGCUCCCAGAGAACAACACCGGUGUGCACGUUUCACAGCCCCGGGUCCGAAACCUCAGGGCCUUCAGGGGCUCCUGAGUUGGUCUUCUCUUCCAGAAAAAAGCCAACCAAAACAAAAACCAACAGGGCUUUCCACCUUUGGGUCGCCGGAUCUUGUGGCUGCUUUUUGUUUUCCGGGAAAACCCAAAUGACCGCUCCACGGCCCCAUGGGAAUCCUUGGAAAGCAGCUCGGAAGUCCUCGCGACUCCAGCUGUCACCUCGACUGUGGAGACAGGAGAGACACGUUUGGGUGUGGUGGGGCCGUGAGAUCGAGGGCCAGUCCUGGUCAAUUCCCCCGCGAGCGUUAGAGCCCGCUCUAAAGGUCAGCCUAGCCUCGAGGCCGUUCGUCCCUCUGACUUCAAAGCGGGGAAGUGAGUUUAGCCAAACUCCCAGGGUCCUUUCCGACUCGGAACCCUCCGAGGGCUGGCAGCGAUCUAACUUGUCCCACGCUGCCGGAAUUCCUCGGGAAAUGUAUGAAGGGGCCCCUCCGCUGAGCGGGAGGGAGGUUUGUGGUGGAGGUCUCGGCCACUCUUUGAGGGUGCAGGGCCCCCUUUCUUCAGUCAUUUCAGGUGGAGCAGAGCCACUGUCUUCCUCCGCCGCCGGGAGAGCAGCUGGCGGAGGUGGGGCGGGGUGCUUAGGGAGGAGGUUAGAGACAAAUCCCCCGGAGCACACACUCCUCCGGAAGGAAAGGAGAAAAUGGAGGGGCUGGGAGGGCAUUAUUAGCCUAGCUUUUCAAAUCCAAUUCAGAAUCAGCUCCGAGUCUCAUCUGAAG
This 1125-nucleotide long non-coding RNA is filed under the name Monodelphis domestica (gray short-tailed opossum). Its description in RNAcentral is "lncRNA (ENSMODG00000046440.1)". Lineage: Eukaryota; Metazoa; Chordata; Mammalia; Didelphimorphia; Didelphidae. The record is from RNAcentral.